Triticum dicoccoides is the source of this 4651-nucleotide long non-coding RNA. RefSeq lists it as uncharacterized. The record is from RefSeq and is a predicted model, not a curated record. NCBI's taxonomy places the organism in Eukaryota, Viridiplantae, Streptophyta, Magnoliopsida, Poales, Poaceae. The transcript is spliced from 4 exons.
UGCGAGAGCAACACCCGUUGGUCACCGCCCCGCACAAACCCUACCCUUUCCAGUGCUCCCAAAUCGACGCAGCCGCCUCCCCUCUCCCUCCCUUCCUCCCCAAACGCGUCGGCCGCCUCCUCUCCACCUGCCAUACCGCGUCCCCGCUGCCGCCAUGGCCUCUUCAGGAGGCACGCCCGUCCAUGGUGUGAAGCAGCAGACCAGGAUCUGGAUGAGGAAGAGGAGAUCCGGGCGCCCCAACGGUGGAUCGAUCGAUGCGAGGUGACAACGAGCUCCUCCGGACGUGGGGGAGCAGCGAGGCCGGAGAUCCAGUCGGCGCAUGCGGGUCGAAUUAGCUGCAGCGCUCCGGUCCCCAAGCCGCCUCCAGGCUCGCUUCCUCCAUCCUCCCACGUCGAUUGCACCCCUCCUCCCGCAUCUCACCCAUCUCGAUGGAUGGCGUGCGGGCACAGAGGCGAGGUUCUCCGGCGGCGGCGGGAACCUCCAGGCAGAGCGACCCCAUGGAUCCGUCCCUGCAGGAGAGAAGGAAUGAGAGGAGCAGCGGCGCUGGCCUCUCCUCUCCCUGCACCGCCGCUGUCCUGCGUUGUCACUGACGUCCCCAAGUGCUUCUCUCCAGAAAUGGUGCCACCAUGUCCAGAUCAAGUCAAGCGCCAGACAUAUGGAGGAAGAUUAGUUAGUAAUGCCCAUAUGAAUUUGAACGUACAAUUUAUAGACAUCCUUCAAUUGCAUUACAAGCCCUGGAAGAGCGACACCAGCCAGGCAUUGUAUGGGAUGGAUCUAUCAUGCUGAGAUUAGUUGUAGACUUCCUUGCUGAACCCUGCAUGGAGCAAUGCAUCCCCAGUUUGCUUCCAGAGGAGGAAGGGGAAGAGAUCUGAGAGAGGAGAGGAACAGAAGAAUCCAUUAGAAGAAUUUAGUGAAGAACAAGGUGACUCUCUCUCUCUCUCAUGUGAACACGGUUCAUUUUGAUGUUAUGAUUUGUGCUAAUGUAAAUAUGAGUUAUGCAUAUAUUGUCUAAAUGUAUUAGAAAAAUGGUCUGGUUGCGCAAACAUUUGGUAGACACUUUUUUUAUUCAAGAUGGAACAAGUUGUUUGGAUGUAUUCUGUUACCGAUAUUCAUGUAAAUGGCUUGCACACUUUGUUUUGUUAUAAAGUAAACAUAUGGGUGUAUGGUUAUCGGAAUUCAGAGGUCCUGCGAUGGCAUCAAGAGCCUCUCUGGUUUUGAUUUUCUGGUAUAAAAUUUAAUCUUUACCGAACAAUGUGAAAUAGAUUGGAAGAAGAGCAUAUAUAAGGACUGACCUUUUCAUGUUGCUUUCUUCAGGGCAAUGUUUAUUGACGAUUUUUUGCUUUGGAAAACACUUUCCGUAUGCUGCCUGAAAUGGAUUCUUCAUAACGUUGUCUUUGAAUUCGCACCAAAUUCAGUCACAAUUCAAUACUGAUUAAAGCAAUAGGAAUUUCACCGGCAAGUGUUUGUGAGUCGUUCUUGGCAUAUAUUGUCCUAUAGUAAUACUUGAUGUAGUUAUUGAAUCGAGAUAUCUGGAUUUAUUUACUUCCAUUUGACUUAUUCAUUCUGGGAUGAAUUUUGUGUUCGCCUGCCUUUCACCUCUACACACCAUCAUUGUUUUCUUGAUGUUGUCACCCAUGUGUUAAUGUUGUAGAAGAUGUAUCAUUUGACUUCUUUUAGGCUCUAUUUUUUUACUGAGCAUACGUGGAUGCCCAUGAAGUGUUCAUUGUUUUUUUAACAAGUAAAUAUUGAUGCACAGAAGAUUUAUAUGGUAGUUUCCAUUCUGGUUUACAUGGGUAGUACCUGAAGCUUAUUUAUAUUUCCACUCCUGUGGAUUUAUUUGAGAUUCUUGAUUCUUGACAUAUCAGGAGUUAGUGUUGGUGUUACGUUCUACCAGAUCCAUUUUUUGCUCAUGUUUCUUAGGUUCAAUUAGUGUUCUCCAUUUUUCUAAUAAGUGAACGUGGACACAUACAGACAGUAGAGGAACAAUCACUGUUCUCUUUGUGUUUUAGCGAGUAUAUGUGGAUGCACAGAAAGCAUUAUGUUCUUGUUUACAAGGUAGUACAUGGAGCAUAUUUACUUUGUCUAAACUGUAAUAUUUAUUUUGUCUGCUUGCAUCAAAAUCAAAAUGCGGCUUUUGCUUGCUAAUAAUUUUGGUUACGGUGUGGCUGGCUACCUAUUACUCAAGAUGGUUCCAUAUUAUAUCAUCAAUUUCAGGAACCUUAUCUCAUAUGUUGCUGAUUUCAUAACAGAUUGUUGGCAUUGUAGCUUCAAGAGACAUGUAUGUUGCUUAUCUUUUGCCUACUGAGCACACAAAACAAAUGUUUCUAUGAAUAUAUGUAAGUGAAACAACAUGCUCCCAUUUUUGGUCAGUUGGUGGACCUGACUAAUACAUAUUUUUUUGGUGAGAGAUAUUAUUCAUAUGUUCUCAGCCAUGUACCCAUAAUUAAUAAACUAAUGGUUUUUUUGUUGGGCUGUUGCUGCCUCCAAUCUUUUGCCCGGCAAACAAAUGCUCAAUAUUUAUUUGUUUUCUCCUUCCUACGAGUGCUUCGUCCUUGUAUCUGUUGGUGGAAUACAAUGUUCUUUAUUCUCCAUGUUUUGGUUAAUAUCAAUUUCCAUGCUUCAUGUUUGUUUACCUUUCUCAUUUUUGCACUGUCUUGUAUUAAAACAGGAUUCUUUACUCAAAUCCUGCUAAUAACUAAAGCCUUUCAAGGAUGUUGCUUCAAUAUGGAAAGAUGUUCCCCUGCAAGUUUUUUGAUUGUUACAACAAAGACUACUUUUUGAGUUGUCGAGGCGAGUUGAUGAUCUAACCACUAGCGGCUGAGAAACUUCAUUUAGAAUGUGACGUGUCAUGUACUUAUAGGCUAAUCGAGUGACCUUUUUGUUAUCUAUGGAAUAUGAAUCUCCAAAUUUUGUGCGUGCUCUAAGCAGUAAGCACUCAAAAUUUGUGGUUGUAAACAAUAUUUAACCUUGUUAUUCUUCACAAAUAGUGUAAUGACAUAGGAAGAUAUAAACAUGGUAUUUUCUGAUGGUCUCUUUUAAAUUGGGCCAGUAAUUUUAUUUGUGUAGAUAACAACAUGUGGACCUCCUUCAGAGUCAUGGGAAGAAAAACUUUGGGUUAAAAGCAAAUUUAAACACGUUGUAUUUUUCGGAUUUUGUGAUUUAUGAUGUUCAGGUCAAGGAUGUCAAGUUCUGCUUCUCUGUUUCGAACCUUUUAUUCUCUGUUUGGCCUAUAACUUGUAUUGCCUUAUUGGUAAAGAUUUAAAUUAAGCCUUGCUGCUACAAACUUUUAUUUUCUUGGAGAAGAUUGUAUUCAUUGGUUGGUGAGUUGAUCUAUUUGUGAUUUGUACCUCGGUUGACAGAACAUCUGAUAUUUGAAAUGAUGAAUCGGGGAUCUUAGGGUCAUUAGAGCAUAUGUAACUCGGGAACAACGACAAGUUGUUUAUGUUGAAGGUGAUCACACCUUGAUUGCUGGACAUGAUCGGAUUCAGUUAGAUGUGAUAUUGGGGUCCAAAAAGAUUGAGGUUUGUACAACUCCUAAAAGUUCAUCUAAUCCUUUCAAGCACUCAGUCCCUUUUAGGGUUAUGUUUGUUUCACCUAAUUAAUAAUUGGAAUUUGUUGGCACCAAACAUUAGUCUACACUCGUAUUUAUGAUGAGAACUAUGAAAAUUUAUUUUGUAGUACAUUGUGGUUUAUUAGUGUUCUACAGACUAUGGUCAUUUGUGUUAUGUUCUCUAUUAUAAACUGUCACAAUAUUUGGCCAAACCUUGCGUACAUCCUGUACAUAUUUUUCUCAGUUUAAGCCCCCAUUCAGCAUUCUGGUGAUUAUGCCAAUCACCGUUGUCUGAACCCUGAUUUAGAUGUUUGGAAGCGUGUCUAGCUGCCUUUUUCUGAGGUUGCUGACAAAUAUACUACUGUCUCUUCCAAAACAUAUGGUAUGAAAUUUAGCUACAACCAUUUGACUGUCUCUUCCAAACCUUCCUUGCUUUUGCAAAUAAUACUUUAUGGUUGGCACUAUUGUCUAUAUCUGCCAAAUAUUUACAUGUUAGUAUAGCCAGAAAUUCAGAUGCCACACAUUAGUGAUGGUUUGUUAUUCAUCAUUCCAUGUUGGUUAGCCAUGAUAAAUUUGAUUUCUAGAGUAGCAGAUGAUUCAUGUCAGGUUUCUUUUAGAGAUCGAAAUAUGUGUUGACUCUGAAAUAAGUAGUACGCCGUCCAGUUCUGCAUAGGUGAAAGCAUACUGAUCCCAUUUACAUACUAUGCAAAACUGGACGGCCUUCUAAAUAUCUAAAACUACUAUUUGUUGUGUAAUCUGUAUCACCUCUUCAUACUCUGUAUAUGCUUUCGACUUACUCCCUCCGUCUGAAAAAACUUGUCCCUCAUACAUGUAUCUAGCACCAAGUUAGUGCUAGAUACAUCCAUUUGAAAGAUAAGCUUGAGACAAGUUUUUCUGGACGGAGGGAGUACUAGGUAAAAGUGCGUGAGAAUGAUGGCCUUUUAUUCAUUCAAGAGCUCUAAAUGACACCGUUGUAUUGGCAACAUAUUCAGUCAUUUCGGAUCAUCUUGUUGGUGUGUGCUGUAAAAUGAGUUGUGACAUUUGUUGGUAUGUGCUGUAAAAAACUGAAAAAAGGCAGUUCAUGUUUAUUUUUCUUCUGAA